GAGGGUAUAGCUCAGUGGUAGAGCACAGUCUUGGCGUGCACAAGGUCCUGGGUUCGAUCCCUAGUGCCCCCG
RNAcentral lists this transfer RNA (72 nucleotides) under Camelus bactrianus (Bactrian camel). It matches the Rfam family "tRNA". From Rfam's summary of the family: Transfer RNA (tRNA) molecules are approximately 80 nucleotides in length. Their secondary structure includes four short double-helical elements and three loops (D, anti-codon, and T loops). RNAcentral also lists the same sequence under 2 other names. The record is from Rfam by way of RNAcentral. Lineage: Eukaryota; Metazoa; Chordata; Mammalia; Artiodactyla; Camelidae.